ACGCUGUUUUCAGUGGUGUCCGGUCUGUCAUGAUGUAACUAUUGGGCUCCAAAUACUCCAAAGCACGAUUUUAGGUGUUGUUGCUGGGUGAAAGGCAAUGCAAGCGGAGAGACGAGGAGAGAUGCUAUCUUAAACGUAGUUUGGAAGGUGAAAGAGGGAGAUGAAGAGGGAAUACGAGGAGCGUUCAAACGAGAGCCUCCCUCUCGCACUACUCUGAGGGCUGGGUGGCUGGAGUCAAGUCGACUGACUCGGUACUGACUCGACUCGACUCGAGUCUCACAGCAAUCCUCUGGCACCGCUGCAAGGCGACUAGUUUGACGGGUUCAACCAAUUUCCG
RNAcentral lists this unclassified non-coding RNA (337 nucleotides) under Athalia rosae (coleseed sawfly). RNAcentral describes it as "misc RNA ENSAEAG00005008559.1". The record is from RNAcentral. Lineage: Eukaryota; Metazoa; Arthropoda; Insecta; Hymenoptera; Athaliidae.